This 119-nucleotide small nucleolar RNA is filed under the name Echinops telfairi (small Madagascar hedgehog). Its description in RNAcentral is "Small nucleolar RNA SNORA61 (ENSETEG00000026711.1)". The record is from RNAcentral. Lineage: Eukaryota; Metazoa; Chordata; Mammalia; Afrosoricida; Tenrecidae.
ACCCUUUCAGGUUCCUAACCCAAUGACUCUAAACAUUGGUCUGAGUGGUGAUAAAAGGAGAAGUAAGAAUGAAACUGAUUUCAAUUCUUUCGUGACCCAUGAACUAGUUACAAACAAAC